UGAUCUGCUUUUCAUUUUACAAACAAAGCCCCAACAGAAGUAUCCGUGUGCUGCUUGUGAGCUUGCACCAUGGGGCACGGGGCUGGCUGAUUUCUCUAGAGCUCGUUUGUUCUUGCUGUUGAAUUCUGAGUAUAGCAGUCUUGGUGGUGGUUAGCCAUUUCAAAAGAUGGUAAAAGUGUUAACUUGGAAAUGUCAUUUGUUGGGUCAUGGACUUCCUUGUUGUUCCCUGGGCCAUUACGAGUCUACCCUUAUGUGGGGGUGGGGUGGGGUGUGAACCUCAGCCCUUGGACCCCGCACUGAUGCUCAGCAUUCAUUCA
Molecule: long non-coding RNA, 317 nt
Organism: Perognathus longimembris pacificus (Pacific pocket mouse)
Lineage: Eukaryota; Metazoa; Chordata; Mammalia; Rodentia; Heteromyidae
Exons: 3
Source: RefSeq, a predicted model, not a curated record